Molecule: ribosomal RNA, 538 nt
Filed under: Cladosporium sp. E3
Lineage: Eukaryota; Fungi; Ascomycota; Dothideomycetes; Cladosporiales; Cladosporiaceae
Description: eukaryotic LSU rRNA
Rfam family: Eukaryotic large subunit ribosomal RNA
Source: RNAcentral
GUGAAGCAGCAAUAGCUCAAAUUUGAAAUCUGGCGUCUUCGACGUCCGAGUUGUAAUUUGUAGAGGAUGCUUCUGAGUAACCACCGACCUAAGUUCCUUGGAACAGGACGUCAUAGAGGGUGAGAAUCCCGUAUGCGGUCGGAAAGGUGCUCUAUACGUAGCUCCUUCGACGAGUCGAGUUGUUUGGGAAUGCAGCUCUAAAUGGGAGGUAAAUUUCUUCUAAAGCUAAAUAUUGGCCAGAGACCGAUAGCGCACAAGUAGAGUGAUCGAAAGAUGAAAAGCACUUUGGAAAGAGAGUUAAAAAGCACGUGAAAUUGUUAAAAGGGAAGGGAUUGCAACCAGACUUGCUCGCGGUGUUCCGCCGGUCUUCUGACCGGUCUACUCGCCGCGUUGCAGGCCAGCAUCGUCUGGUGCCGCUGGAUAAGACUUGAGGAAUGUAGCUCCCUCGGGAGUGUUAUAGCCUCUUGUGAUGCAGCGAGCGCCGGGCGAGGUCCGCGCUUCGGCUAGGAUGCUGGCGUAAUGGUCGUAAUCCGCCCGU